CGGUAUCUCUCUUUAAGCGAGUCAAAAACUUUUGAACCUAAUCUAUAAACAUAGGAACUGAGUUGUAAGAUUAUCGUGAGCAAGCCUACCUAGUUCUGCUAGUCAGUAGGAUAGUUCUGCUAGUCAGUAGGAAGCCUAAGAUAGUUUUCCGAGGUUCCCACCUGAACCAAGUGGUUCUUAAGGUGCUAGGAUUCACUGGAGAGGGAUACCAU
RNAcentral lists this non-coding RNA (212 nucleotides) under Candidatus Halobeggiatoa sp. HSG11. RNAcentral describes it as "6S RNA". It matches the Rfam family "6S / SsrS RNA". From Rfam's summary of the family: E. coli 6S RNA was the first non coding RNA to be sequenced, but its function was unknown until recently. It consists of 184 nucleotides that fold into an extended hairpin structure with a large single-stranded internal bulge. The 6S RNA specifically associates with RNA polymerase holoenzyme containing the sigma70 specificity factor. Lineage: Bacteria; Pseudomonadati; Pseudomonadota; Gammaproteobacteria; Thiotrichales; Thiotrichaceae. The record is from RNAcentral.